UACGUAGGGUGCAAGCGUUGUCCGGAAUUAUUGGGCGUAAAGAGCUCGUAGGCGGUCUGUCGCGUCGGCUGUGAAAACCCGGGGCUCAACCCCGGGCCUGCAGUGGGUACGGGCAGACUAGAGUGCGGUAGGGGAGACUGGAAUUCCUGGUGUAGCGGUGAAAUGCGCAGAUAUCAGGAGGAACACCGAUGGCGAAGGCAGGUCUCUGGGCCACUACUGACGCUGAGGAGCGAAAGCAUGGGGAGCGAACAGG
This 253-nucleotide ribosomal RNA is filed under the name uncultured bacterium. Its description in RNAcentral is "partial 16S ribosomal RNA". It matches the Rfam family "Bacterial small subunit ribosomal RNA", at positions 524 to 776 of the family's 1533-position model. The record is from RNAcentral.